Molecule: ribosomal RNA, 484 nt
Filed under: uncultured bacterium
Lineage: Bacteria
Description: bacterial SSU rRNA
Rfam family: Bacterial small subunit ribosomal RNA
Source: RNAcentral
AUUGAACGCUGGCGGCAUGCCUUACACAUGCAAGUCGAACGGCAGCACGGGAGCAAUCCUGGUGGCGAGUGGCGAACGGGUGAGUAAUAUAUCGGAACGUGCCCAGUCGUGGGGGAUAACGUAGCGAAAGCUACGCUAAUACCGCAUACGAUCUAUGGAUGAAAGCGGGGGAUCGCAAGACCUCGCGCGAUUGGAGCGGCCGAUAUCGGAUUAGGUAGUUGGUGAGGUAAAGGCUCACCAAGCCGACGAUCUGUAGCUGGUCUGAGAGGACGACCAGCCACACUGGGACUGAGACACGGCCCAGACUCCUACGGGAGGCAGCAGUGGGGAAUUUUGGACAAUGGGCGCAAGCCUGAUCCAGCAAUGCCGCGUGCAGGAUGAAGGCCUUCGGGUUGUAAACUGCUUUUGUACGGAACGAAACGGUGAGCUCUAAUACAGUUUGCUAAUGACGGUACCGUAAGAAUAAGCACCGGCUAACUACGUG